RNAcentral lists this small nucleolar RNA (108 nucleotides) under Dichanthelium oligosanthes. RNAcentral describes it as "Plant small nucleolar RNA R71". It matches the Rfam family "Plant small nucleolar RNA R71". Rfam says of the family: R71 is a member of the C/D box family of snoRNAs containing the C (UGAUGA) and D (CUGA) box motifs. Multiple nearly identical copies of this snoRNA have been identified in Arabidopsis, and it is thought to function as a 2'-O-ribose methylation guide for 18S ribosomal RNA. Lineage: Eukaryota; Viridiplantae; Streptophyta; Magnoliopsida; Poales; Poaceae. The record is from Rfam by way of RNAcentral.
AUGCCGUAAUGAGGGCACGCAGUGAUGUACUCUUUGGAGGUGUUCCCAUGCCUCCGAGAUGGACUCCUCAGUAUGCUACAAGAAACUUGAAAUCUUGUUCCGAAGGGC